This 600-nucleotide ribosomal RNA is filed under the name Triticum aestivum (bread wheat). RNAcentral's name for it is "partial small subunit ribosomal RNA". The record is from RNAcentral. Lineage: Eukaryota; Viridiplantae; Streptophyta; Magnoliopsida; Poales; Poaceae.
AUGAAGCACCCCCUCUCGCUCCCUUCCAAGCCGCGGAGCCCCAUCCUGGCUUGCACCCCCUUGCGCAGCCAGUGGAAGCUCUUCUCCUACCCGCUCGCCAGGCUCACCGGCGGCUGGGCGCCCGUCGAGCGCGCCUCCUGGGGAGACGUCUUCGAGAUCCUCAAGCGCCCCCGCCUGCUGGCCGGCGCGGGCGGCCGCCACGUCCUCAUGAUCGCUGGUCUCAGGUCGUCCUUUGCCUUGGACGCGCCCUGCUCCACGGUGCUCCUCCUCCGGCUGAAUCUGGCCACCAUGGAGUGGGGCGAGGCUGGCCGCAUGCCGCCCAAUAUGUACUGCUGCUUCACUGGCCUGUGCGAGGCUACUGCGCAGGCAAGCGCCAUGCCCGCCCCUGUUGCCAACGGCAACAACAAGGUAAAGGUGUUUGGGGGUGAUGGCAAGGUGUGGUUUGGUGGAAAGCGCGCCCGCGGGAAGCUCGCAAUGUGGGAGGAGGAUGACAUAGGGAGCAGCGGCGGCAAUUGGGACUGGGUGGAUGGUGUUCCUGGAUAUGGUGAUGGUGUAUACCGCAGCUUUGUGUUCGAUGGUGGGUUCACAGCAAUUCCAUGA